This 250-nucleotide unclassified non-coding RNA is filed under the name uncultured Rhizopogonaceae. RNAcentral describes it as "sequence contains ITS2". The record is from RNAcentral. Lineage: Eukaryota; Fungi; Basidiomycota; Agaricomycetes; Boletales; Rhizopogonaceae.
AAUUCUCAACCCCUCUCGAUUAGCUUCGAGAGGGUGCUUGGAUAGUGGAGGUUGUCGGAGACUCGGAUUCGUCCAAGACUCGGACUCUUCUGAAAUGCAUCGGCUUGCGGUCGACUUUCGACUAUGUGCGACAAGGCUUUCGGCGUGAUAAUGAUCGCCGUUCGCUGAAGCGCAUGACCGAAGGUUCCGUGCCUCUAAUACGUCGACCACUUACUAUCUCUCCGGAGAGAACGGGGUCUUCCUAAUCGAC